CAGCCGCACGGUAAUACGGAGGGUGCAAGCGUUAAUCGGAAUUACUGGGCGUAAAGCGCACGCAGGCGGUCUGUCAAGUCAGAUGUGAAAUCCCGGGGCUUAACCUGGGAACUGCAUUUGAAACUGGCAGGCUAGAGUCUUGUAGAGGGGGGUAGAAUUCCAGGUGUAGCGGUGAAAUGCGUAGAGAUCUGGAGGAAUACCGGUGGCGAAGGCGGCCCCCUGGACAAAGACUGACGCUCAGGUGCGAAAGCGUGGGGAGCAAACAGGAUUAGAUACCCGGGUAGUCCCUGUCUCUUAUACC
RNAcentral lists this ribosomal RNA (301 nucleotides) under uncultured bacterium. RNAcentral describes it as "partial 16S ribosomal RNA". It matches the Rfam family "Bacterial small subunit ribosomal RNA", at positions 512 to 808 of the family's 1533-position model. The record is from RNAcentral.